CAAGUACUCCUUCCGUUCCAAAAAUUUUGUCUUAAGUUUGUCUAGAAAUAAAUGUAUCUAAAUAUUAAAAUAUGAUUACAUACAUUCAUAUCUAGACAAAUCUAAGACAAGAAUUUUGAAACAAUGGGAGUACGUA
Non-coding RNA from Hordeum vulgare subsp. vulgare (domesticated barley), 136 nucleotides. The record is from Rfam. NCBI's taxonomy places the organism in Eukaryota, Viridiplantae, Streptophyta, Magnoliopsida, Poales, Poaceae.